This 401-nucleotide ribosomal RNA is filed under the name uncultured bacterium. RNAcentral's name for it is "bacterial SSU rRNA". It matches the Rfam family "Bacterial small subunit ribosomal RNA", at positions 28 to 424 of the family's 1533-position model. The record is from RNAcentral.
GACGAACGCUGGCGGCGUGCUUAACACAUGCAAGUCGAACGAGAUCCAACCGGUGGCAACACCGGGAAAGAUCUAGUGGCGAACGGGUGCGUAACACGUGAGGAACCUGCCCCGGUCUCUGGAAUAACAGUGGGAAACCACUGCUAAUACCGGAUAUCUCCUCGGAACCGCAUGGCUCUGAGAAGAAAGGGUUACCGGAUCGGGAGGGUCUCGCGGCCUAUCAGCUUGUUGGUGGGGAAUGGCCUACCAAGGCUCCGACGGGUAGCUGGUCUGAGAGGACGAUCAGCCACACUGGGACUGAGACACGGCCCAGACUCCUACGGGAGGCAGCAGUGGGGAAUCUUGCGCAAUGGGCGAAAGCCUGACGCAGCGACGCCGCGUGAGGGAUGACGGCCUCGGUU